RNA transcript from Ixodes scapularis (black-legged tick), 6579 nucleotides. It is a transcript of the gene named replication initiator 1-like, with no coding region annotated. The transcript is spliced from 3 exons. Lineage: Eukaryota; Metazoa; Arthropoda; Arachnida; Ixodida; Ixodidae. The record is from RefSeq and is a predicted model, not a curated record.
GGUAACGUUGGCAGAGGCCGAGGAAGGCCCGAACUUGAGGGAAAAAUUAAAUGGCGUCGUUAGCUGCGGAGUCGAAGGGCGUCGGUGAAAUAAGUGGACGCGAGAAUGACCGACGCCGAUGAGUCGGCCACGGGCACGGACACAUGAGCGGCGCCCAGUGUGCCCUUCCUCGACGCUGCUGGAGCCCGGAGAUGUGAUGUGAUGGAGCGAGUCGACAAGGACUCGAGUGCGGGGAACGAGCUGGCCAAGCCCGGGGGCGCGGUGGCCGGGACCUCCCCGGUGUCCGUGGGGGUGCCGCCGCCACCGGGGCUGGCCCUGGUGCCGGCGCCGGGGGGGGCCAUGGGGGGUGGGCCACCCCAGUCGCAGCAGCAGCAGCUGGCCCUGAAGGAUGUGCAGUGCCCCAUCUGCUUGAAGGUUUUCAGCCGGAAAUUUUCCCUGGAGAUGCACUUCCUCAUCCACCAGGGGCUCAAGCCCUACAAGUGCCAGUUUUGCGGGAGGUGCUUCCGUCAGAAGGGCACCCUCAUGCGCCACAAGGCGAUCCACAGCCAGACGCCGUCGUACCGCUGCGGCCUGUGCGACAAGAGCUACCGCCAGAAGAAUGUGUUCCUGCACCACCUGCGCAAUCGGCACAAGGUGUCGACGGACGUGCUGGACCGGCGGCGUUGCCACAUCAAGAACAACAAUGCAGGAGGGGGCCUGAUGGAGGCCCUGCCCCCGAGCACCGCCCCCUACCCGCCCCCGCUGCCGCCCCCCUCCAUGGGCUCGGUGUGCCUGCCCCCCCUGAGCCCCCCAGAGCCCCCGCCCCCUGCCGACCAGGACCCGUCCAUCAUCCUGCGAAUCUCGGAGCGGCAGCAGAGCAUGCCCCCGCUGUUCUCGGGCAACCCGGUGCCCCCCCUGCACCUGGCGGGGGGCUCCCUGCCCCCGGGACCCCCCGCCCCCUGGCAGUGCCCCUUCUGUGCCUUCGAGAGCGUGCACGACCCGGACGUGUGCCGGUCCCACCUGCUGCAGCACGUGGAGGACCCGCCCCCCGCGGCCUACCUGGACUGCCCCCUGUGCCCCCGCAGAAUGGGCUCGCCCGCCGAGCUCGCCGGGCACCUGCGUGACUUCCACGAGAGCGGCGGGGGGCCCCAGCCGGGAGCCAGCCCCCCCCGGCCCCCCCCGCGGAGAGGACGCCCGCUCGGACGUCACCUUCAGCUGCAUCCCGUGCCAGAUGGAGUUUGGGAGCGAGGACGACUUUGAGUGGCACGUCAAGACGCACGUGCAGAGCGUGCUGGCGGAGCCCCGCCCCCCGGACGACUGCGUGGGGCCCCUGGACCUGACGGAGGCCCGGGGGGGGCGGCCGGGCCCGGGACGGGGAGCGGGGCGGGGAGCAGCGGGGGCAGGGGCGGCGCCAGCUCAUGUGCGUGGAGUGCGGCAAGCUGUUCGGGUCCAAGGCGCUGUACCGCUACCACGCCCAGCUGCACCUGGCGGUGCAGGGGGCCUUCCGCUGCCCCCAGUGCCGGCUGCGCUUUGCCCGCAAGCCCCAGCUGCUCCAGCACACGCGUCAGUGCCACCUGCGGCGGCUGCGCUGUCCCCGCUGCGGCCGCCUGUUCAGCUACCGCUGCCUGCUGGCCAGUCACGCCCGCCACUGCCCCGGCCCGGCCCCGCCCCCGCUCUGCCUGCCCGUGGUGGACAUCGAGGCCGCCCGGGGUGCCCUGGGGCCUCAGCUGCUGGGGGUCAUCCCCCUGGUGGCUCCGGACGGCGACGAGCCCAGCCCCGUGCUGGGCGUGCCCGUCCUGGCCCCGGACUCGCUGCUCAAGAACCGCCUCAACGGGCUCCACGUGUCCGCCCGCAUCGGGCUGUGACGCCUGCUCGGCCGCCCGGACGCCCUCUGAGGCAGACGACUCUGGGAGAGAUUCCUGCCGCAAUUCGAGCCCGGCGGCGCAAAUUCGCCGAGUGCCAGUUUGCCGAAUCCGGGUCUGCCGCACUCCAGUUCUUUUAUGGUGGCAGUCCGUCGAACUCCGGUCUGCCGGACUCCUUGUUUGAAGAUUUCUCGGUCUGCUCAGAGCCAAGUGUGCCUCGGUUUGAGAGCCGGACGGCUGGUCGAGAGCGCUUGAGUUGUUGCGGAGUAGCAGACGUAUUUCGCCCUUGGGGGCGGUACUGUCAGGUCUUAAACAGUGGGGAAUUCGGGGGAGAGGGCAGCGUUGAAGCAAGGUGUGGGUCAAUGGAUGUCGCUGGCAGGGGAGAACAAUCUCCUAGUCUUCCGACGCAUCACCAUUUCUCCAUCCUUUUCAAACUUUGCAGUACAAAGAUCACCCUCGUUGUUGAGAAACUCGGUUUGCGCUUUGUCGCAGUUAGGGUUUUCGCUUGGGACGACGGCUCUUUCUGGUUCAAGCUCUUUGGGAAGGGCAGCCGGAUGGCAAUGGCCGUAAUUGUCGGGCGCUUGCCGCGGGGUCGUUCCAGGCAUUGUGGCCCUGCGUCGCUCCGUCUGGGGCGUUACGGGUCCCACAGGAAUACUCCGCUUUGAAAACCGGCAGCACCAAAUCGGUCUGCUUCGUCCGUUUCCACUCCUUUUGAAUUUCGCCUCAAUUACGAGUCUGCUCAUCAGGAAUUCCUACCAAAGAUCCUCAACGUCUCUCUCGCGCGUCCAGCUAUCCGUGAAGCGCCUCGCCACACGAGCGAUUUCUGCUUACGUCACGGACGCCUUUCCCCGUUGCCGCUCGGGGCGAGACUUUUUUGUUGAUCGAUGAAGGUUACAUUUAUGACAGAGCUUUUACGUUCCCCACGCACGGAGGUCGUCCCCUCUUCGUAAUCUCUGUCCUCGCCGACGAUCGUUGUUUGGGGGCCCCCAGGCUAGUCUUGUUUCUGGCGCAUCACAUCAGCUUUCACAAAACGGGAGUCCCAGUGCCCUCUACAAGUGCCAAAUAUCCCUGUUGGGCACCUCCCAGAGGGGUCCACUUCUCUGUUGGGCCCCUCUGAGCGACUACAUUUUUUGAUGGUGGGGUUUCGGUUUAGAGCUAAAAGGUUUGGCCGUCCAGAUUUCGCGAGUUCUUCAUCGCUCGAUUUCGUUACGCAUCUGAGGUCUGGCAGAGCAAUAACGGCGUUUCUUCACUCCGGGUCUUCGUUCCGUUGGUAGGGAAGUGGGGUUGGUUGUGGACUGCGGGGGCACGGCCCUGGUGACGCAAUGCGAUGCUGGCGACAGGUUCCGUUGCUGCUCCAAGGUCUUUUCAGUCUCCGCUUGGAGCGCCAUUGCUCGUGGAACUUUGUGCACCUUGUUUUUAGACUCGAUUCUUGAUAACUUUUCUAGUGGAACGGAACUUUGUGCAGCAAAUGGGGCUGCUAAUUUGCUUGGGUUUCCUUAAAAGGGUGGUGCAGCAAUCCUCCCACUUUCACUGAAUAACGCCUAAAGAUAAUCGUCGAGGUUCGUGACUCAUAAAGCAUGCAUUAGUUCUGGUCUCCCCAUACGAUGGCAGCCGCAAAAAAAGGUUUGAAAAAAAAACAAGCAGCCCUCGCCUCUUCAACUUGCAGCCGCACUUUGCGGUGCCGAUUACUGUAAAACCCCUAAUGUUUGCGAGGCCUGAAUUUCACGACUUGGAAAGCGUGCAAACUUUAGGGUGCGCUAAUAUUUCUCUUGUUUGAAGGGGCGAAUGACAGCCUUUAUAUUUGACAAAAUUUAAUGGUCACGACUAUGACCCCGCUGUCUGAUUGGGGAAAAAUGGGAGGGUUUUGCAGUAUGUGUUGCCAGUGUUGAUCAUUGCCAUGAUCUGUCAUUGGCAAAGCCGUCAUUACUGUUUACGUCACUGAGGCUUUUUGACACGAGCCACUACCCUCAUUGACUGUCGUGAGCCAAAACCAAGCGUUCACGCAGUGCUCGUGUCCAGUCUAAGAUGCAUUCGAAUAUUGUCGUCGUAGCGUAAUUCCCGUUGCUACGCUAUGGAGUUCUGCAAAGGAGAGGCCCAACGAGAUGUUUGCUUUAAUCCUCGAAAUUACGCUAUGGGAAACUUCCCGGUCAGUGGCGUUGCGUGCAAUACUACUGCCAGUAAGCUUGCAUCAAGUUAAAAAUAUUUCGCCCGUAACACCUGCUAUUCUAGGCCUCUGUAAACAUUACAUCCACACCUGCUUGGACCACAAUAGUGGCUUGCUGUAUUCUGCAAGUGUAGAAAAUAUACGACCCAAUAUCAUUGCACUUUAACUGGUGACUGAUAUAUUGGAGUAUGUCAGCUUUGGUCUUUGUGAAGAUGAAAUGCAAUCGGCCGACACGCCUGCAGCGGCAGGUGCUAAAAUUUACGGAGAAUGCUAAUUCACCUGGGAGGUCUUUAAAAUUUGGUUUGCACCGUAGCCCUUGUACUGCAGAACUGCCUUCUCGCACCGUUUGGAUUGAAAGAAUCGAAUGCUGGAAAAAGCGACUUAAAAUGCCGGGGGUUCGUGGCGCAAUUGGGGCAACGCAUCAUCUUCAAGAUAGCUGAAAUUGGCAACGACUGCCAUUGGACAACGAGGAGCACAAACUUCCGCGAGGAGUGGCAACUUCCAAGAGGAUAGAUGCAUUCCUACGUUCCAUCUAUUGAGGGAGAUAAUCGCUGCCGACGUGCCGUAAGGCUUCCGGUCUUUGUUUGCACUCUUUCUACCAGAUCGUCUGGAAACGGCCGCUGUUUCUGCCGCACAAAGCCUUCGAGAUGGAGCGUGGGAAUGUUGCCGUCAUUACCGUUGGGUGCCGGCCCCGUUGCUGUGUGUCGGGGGGUCGUGGGCGGCAGGUGCCACGGCCACCCUGAGCCACCCUGGGCCGUACACCCGCGACUGUGUUUUGUGGGGAGGGGCCUCUGUCCUCUAACGGCCCUUGGGUUUUGUCGACGUGCACUUCUGGCUAGCGAAAAACCUUAUUUUUCUGUCGUUCGGGUAUGCUGAAUCUCUGCGAAAGAACAAAGUUGUCCGCUGUUCUUCGGUUGGAGCUGUUCUGUGUUGCUUUGCGGCGUCCUGGUGUGCUUUCUAAUACCGAGAGGGGCAUUAUUUAUUGAGAGCACAUCCUCGGAGCCAGCCUUCAUUACUGUCUUGGUGCACAGCUCUUUUUGUCCUCUUUCAGCAAAGUAUGCCUUCCAUCAGUUUUUUUUCGGGGAUUUUCAGUUGCUUUUUUUUUUUUUUCUAGUCGAACGGGAGUGUUCAGCCAAAUGACAAUUUCUCUUUUAUUUUCAUCCGCACACGCGCAUCGAGAUAUAUAUACACAUGUGUAGAUAUGCAGAGAGAGAGCCAGGCACACAGUUUAUUUUGAGGCUGCAGGAGCGAAAAUAGAGAAAAAAAAAAAAAAAAAAGGCACCACAUCCCCAGACGUCUAGUCUGGCACGUGCGGCCACACGCGGCGCGUUUUUUUUUUUUUCCUUACGCGCACAGUACCUGAGAUUGAAGUUUCGAAUUAUCGACAAAUUUUUGUAUUUGUUUCCGUUGAUUCUUGUUUUUGGGCCGACGGAGUGGAGGCGGACGACAGCAAUGGCGUUGGGACGAGCGGUGCUUGGUUUUGAAAGGGUCUGAGAAGCUUGGUUACGGGGGAGGGGUCUCCGGGCAUGCCCUGGGGGAGGUCGGCAUAGUGCACUCUGGUGUGCCCUGGUGCGCUCUGGUGCUCUCGGAGGAGGGGGAUUGAGGUCCGGUGAGACGGUGGCGAGCCUCUGUACAGUGUUUGGCGUGAACGAGAGUUGUGGCUGUUGUCUGCUCUGCGUGUCGUGUUCGGCCCCUGCCCCCUGUAGGGCGGGGGCCAUCGUUGUUGAGUGGCGUUGGGCGCAGACCUGUUGGUGCCAGGCUGUACUGGCUGUUUGUUCUCGUGCUGUGGUUGGUCGGUCUUGCCGUCGAAGGAAUCAAAAUGGUGUUUCCCGCACAAAGGUUUGUUGUCUGUCCGAACAAAGCUCGGGUUCUGCCUUGUGCACGCUGUUUCUUCCCAAUACUCCCUCUGUGUCUUGGAGCAAACACCAUUUUGUUUCUUUUCCCUCGUUGCGUAAAAGAGAAGACUGUGUUCUCAGGGUCAUAACGCUAUCUGAAGAGUUUUUGCUUGGCAUUUUUUACUUGUCAAAGGAGCCACUGUUUUUGUUUAUUCCACCGUGUAAAUAUAUAUUUAUUGUUGCCACACCAUAACUCUUUGUUUUUACCUAUCACAAGUGCACUGUUCAUGUUUUCUCGUUUUUUUCCUUGUUUCGUAACUUGUUUUUAACCGAAGAACUCAUCCUUAGUAUACUUUCUGCCAUCUUCAUGGUACUUUUUAGAUAUCCAUAUAGACAUGGUCAUGAAAAGGUUAUUUUUAUCAUACUCGUCUCUAUUGCAUAUUUGUUUGGUAUAAAAUAUUGAAAUAUAUUGUAUACCUGAAGUUAUAUAUACAUAUUAUAUAUACACCUACAGACACAGUUUGCCACAAUCGUGUUUGAUACCGUGGUAUAGAUUUACAAGAGGAAAAAGAAAACUACAAUGCAUUUUGAUGUGUGUGUACACAUAUAUUUUUUGUAUGACAAGUUCAGUCCAGCCAGCUUUGGUUGGGCAGUUUUUUAACAUGUGUUGUACAUGGAGGCAUGUGGCAACCACCAAUAGACCUCGGAACAAAUAACAGAAUAAAGGUAUGACAAUUCA